CUUCCCCCUCCCCCCCGUAGCUCGCCCAUGCUGUGCCGGUAGAGGGUCCAGGUCCAGGUCCAGGUCCAGGUCCAGGUCCAGUCAUCAUGUGUCGCAGCCCCACAGAGAUGAGAAAUAAAAACUCUCCCAGAUCCAACCUCAAGUUUCGGUUUGACAAGUUGAGUCACUCUAAUAACAACAAGGAGGUUUAGCCAAUCACCAGCCUCCAUCCAGGAAGAGGCGGGGCUUACUGUGAAGAUGCUGAUGGACUGUUAACAGCUGCUGCACGCUCACACACACACGCACAAACACACACACACACACACACACACACGCUCACACACACACGCACAAACACACACACACACACACGCACAAACACAAACACACACACACACACGCACAAACACACACACACACACAC
Long non-coding RNA from Etheostoma cragini (Arkansas darter), 403 nucleotides. RefSeq lists it as uncharacterized. The transcript has 3 exons. The record is from RefSeq and is a predicted model, not a curated record. NCBI's taxonomy places the organism in Eukaryota, Metazoa, Chordata, Actinopteri, Perciformes, Percidae.